AUACAUAGUGUACAUUUCUUGUCGGGAAAAAUGUCAUUUAAUCUCCCAACUUUUAAAAAAUGGUCAUUUUAUAUAUCAACUUCGUAUGUGGCCGUUUAAAACAUGAACUAAACGUUGACUAAUUUUUAAAACAUGAUCUUUCGUUGACCAGGCCAAAAUAGACAUGCCGUUAUCAGUCAUUAACGGAAUUUCUAACGUCCGUUAUCAUCCGUUAACUUUAUUAGUCAAGUUUCAAAUUGUGGUCAUUUUAAACAUCAACUUUUUAUGUGGCCAUUUAAAACAUGAACUAAACGUUGACUACCAUUUAAGACAUGAAAAAUUUGUUGACCAAGCCAAAAUAGACAUGUCUUUAUCAGUAGAACCUAGAAACCGUUAAUGACUGUUAAUCUGUCCAAAACAACGUCGUUUGAGAAUAAUCGAAAGAACAUAAAGAUUUUUCCCAUAUAAAAUCUCCAUAUCAAAAAGUUUUAAGCAGAACCCAUAGUUUGAUAUAGAGAUAAUCACAGUGCCAGUAAUUGGAAGCAAAUAAAAGUGUUUUCGUUUAUAUAUUUGUUUUAAAUUUUAAAAGGAAUCAUGGAAGCAAAUUGAAGACUCAUUAUAAGAUUGUUCGUCUUGUUUGAGCGGUUGUAGAAAUAGAUUUGGGGAACUGGAGUUUCAUUUAGAAAACAAUCCUGAUUUUCUUUUGGUUAUUCUCAAAACAAAGUCGUUUUAGGGAUACUAAUAGAGUCGUUAACAAGUGAUAAUGAAUGUUAUAAGUUCUUUUAAUGAAUGAUGACAACAUGUUUAUUUUGGCUUGGUCAUCGAAUUUCUCAUGUUUUAAAUGGUAGUCAACGCUUAGUUCAUGUUUAAAAUGGCCACAUAUAAAGUCGAUGUUUAAAAUGACCACAAUUUAAAACUUGACUAAUAAAGUCGUUAACGGAUGAUAACGAACGUUAAAAGUUCCGUUAAUGACUGAUAGCGGCAUGUCUAUUUUGGCCUGGUCAACGAAUAAUCAUGUUUUAAAAUUUAAUCAACGUUUAGUUCAUGUUUUAAACGGCCGCAUACGAAGUUGAUGUAUAAAAUGGCCAUUUUUAAAAAGUUGAGGGAUUAAUUGACAUUUUUUCCAUUUCUUGGCUCCUUUUCUCUAACGUACAUUUAUCAGUUCAUCAUCCAAAAAUUCAAAAUU
This 1165-nucleotide small RNA is filed under the name Arabidopsis thaliana (thale cress). Its description in RNAcentral is "ATSL211300". The record is from RNAcentral. Lineage: Eukaryota; Viridiplantae; Streptophyta; Magnoliopsida; Brassicales; Brassicaceae.